ACUGCAGCGCCUGCCGACCUCGGGGCCCCGCCCUCUGCCUUCGCUCGCGCCGCUCUCCUUCAGUCUCCCCAGGGCCUGUUUCAUGGAUAGGGUCCCCUUGCCCGCGUGAAAGUCUCAUUCCUCCUCAGCUCAGAAACACUCCAAGGUGCGGGGACUCGUGGAAGGAUUUGAUUCGCGCUUGAGAAAGAUCGCUCCGCUCCUGUAAGGAAGAGAGCGUGUAGGGGCUGCAACCAGAGACACAGUCAGAAGCUCCGAGGCUACCGCGAUGGUCCAGGACACAGCCUAACAGAGGCCCAGGUUGGAGCCAUGGACCAUGGAGUCAUGAGAAUGGAAGGGAAGCUGACGCCAUGUGGGAUGGGGUAGAACUGUCCGCAAAUUCGUCCCGCCUCUGGAGUCUUCAGACCAGUCAAGGCCGAAAUUCAACCAAGCCUCUCCUCUCUCUAGCUGUUAUUUGUUUGCAGCACGCGGUCUGGUGGCACCCUGCAGGAUUUACCAGCUUUUUGCCAACAUUCUGGCCUAUGCAAUCAAUACGUCCCUUCAGCGUUGCACUUGGAUGGAUUGGACCUAUAGUUGUUAUAUAUGGAUAUUGUCUAAUUUAUUUAUUACAGUAUUAACUGACUCCUAUGUUCUGGCCUUCAGAAUUUCUCCUUUGGAUCAAUUACUAGCCUGUCUUACAUUUUCUGCUUCAUUCUUUUAAAAUGUUUAGAGAUGAUUUGCUAAGUUUUCUUCAUUGCUGUCAAUGAUGCAAUUUAAACUGUCAAAAAAAUUUUUUCUCAAGCAGGGUAGUAAUGGUGAACCAUUCCCUUGCUAUUCAGACAGCAUGGUUUAGAUGAGGCGCACCUAUCCCCAGCUUUAGGAAUGGAAACAGGACCCAAGUCUGGCUAAUCAGAGACUGGUUUAGGGUCGGCCCCAUGGUCUGAGCCAGACCAAUGAGAAUUGGUAGAGGGACUUCCUUUUGCAACUUCUAUUUUAGAAUCGGGGGUAUAUAUGCAGGCUUGUUACAGAGGUAUAUUGCAUGGUGCUGAGGUUUGGAGUAUGAACGAAUCCGUCCUUCAGGUAAUGAGCAUAGUACCCAAUAGGUAGUUUCAACCCUUGCCCCCUUCCUCCUUCCCCAGUCUUGUAUUCCCCAGUGUCUGUUGUUCCCAGACAUUGAUCUUUUUCCUCUAUGUUGCUAAGCUGGUAGAAAGGCUGGAGUUGCUGGCAACCAUCUUUGCAACCAUGCAGGGAGAACUACUUUGGAAAUGAAGCAAGAUAAAGAAGAAAACAGAUAAAAGGAGACAAAUGUUUGACUUUGUACAGCUGGAAACCAGCAAUGCUGGAAAUGAGCACUGAAGGCAGUUUAAUGGGUUUGUCACUUGUAACCAAGUGACCCAUGGCAAGCUCACAGAUUUGUAUUGGCAGAAUUCCUCCUUUUCUUUAUUUAAAAUGGUACUUUUGGCCAGGCAAGGUGGUUCACACCUGUAAUCCAAAGACUUUGGGAGGCCGAGGCGCACUGAUCACCCAAGGUCAGAAGUUCGAGAACAGCCUGGCCAACAUUGGCGAAACCCCAUCUCUACUAAAAAUACAAACCAUUAGCUGGCUGCGGUGGCCUUUCUACCAGCUUUUUGUCUCAAAAAAAAAAAAAAAAAAGGUACUUUUGCUUAUCUCUAACCUUCCUCUUCCCCAUAAUUUAACAGUUGCCCAUACUAUCUGUUACUCUGAGCUACUCUCUGCCCCAUUCUCCUCCUCUUAUCUUCAGUUCCUCCUAGGCUGUCAGAGCCAUCUGAAAUGAAAACAUUUAGGCCGGGCAUAGUGGUUCAUGCCUGUAAUCCCAGCACUUUGGGAGGCUGAGGCAGGCGGAUCAGCUGAGGUCAGGAGUUCAAGACCACCCUGGUCAACAUGGUGAAACCCCAUCUCUACUAAAAAUACAAAAAUUAUCCAGACAUGGUGGCACAUGCCUCUACUCCCAGCUACUUGGGAGGCUGAGGCAGGAGAAUCGCUUGAACCUAGGAGGCAGGGGUUGCAGUGAGCCGAGAUUGAGCCACUGCACUCUAGCCUGGGCGACAGAGUGAGACUUUGUCUAAAAAACAUAAAUAAAAUAAAAUGAAAUGAAAACAUUUGCUACUUGAAAUCCUUCAGAUUCCCCAUCGCCUACCUACAGGCAAAACUCUCAAGUUCUUUUGUAUGAUUUAACCACUAUCUACCUGUCCAACUGAAAUCUACCCUUCAGUAAUAUUAUACUUGCACCUCCCUUCAUAAGCUAUGCUACAAGUUUGGUUAUGCAGUUGCCCACCUUUUAAGGUUCAAGCCUUGUCUUCUCCAAAGAGCCACCUCUGACUGCCUCACAGUAAGCUUAGGGCCCGCAACUUACCUGUAACUUUUGUUGCACUUAUGGCCUUUUACAACUAUCAAUUUAUGUAUGUGUCUGUUCUCACUGGUUUAUAAGCUCCCUGAGGACAGAGCCUUGCUUGAGUCAUCUGUCAGCAGCCCAAUAUGGGACAAAAAGUGCAUGCAUUGUAAUUACUGAACAGAACUGAUAGAGGCUCAGCAAUUUGCGCUCCAUAGGUCUAAGUUUGAACUUUUCUAGAAAAGGAUUUGCAGGACGAUCUGACGAAUCUUGGGCUUCCAAAUUAGUUCCAACAGUUCUAGUAUUUUUUUUUUUUUUUGACAGAAGCAAAUAAGUAAGUUUUACUUUGUGAUUAAAACAAAAGUGAAAUGCAUUUAGUCCCAGGAAAUGUCAAUCCUUUCUGCAUCUUACUUUUUUUUGCUGUGACCUCGAGAUUCUCUUGUUCUCUUCAGUUGUAUUGGUCCAUGAUCACUCAUAGCUUUCAUACACAUAUAUACAUCUGAAACUCAGAAAAUUCAUUAGGUAGGAACUCUUUGGAUGCAUCUCCUUUUUUAACCUCAUUGGGAUGAUUUUUCGUUGCACCAUCAUUUUAUAGAGCUUCCUAGCACUGCUGAGCAUGCAGAAUUUUUGCAAAUGCAAUCCAGAGAAACAGACUUGCUAUAUACUAGCUAUUUGAACUUGUCUGAGCUUAUGUGGCAUGGUCUAAAGAAUACUGAAAUAUUUCUGGCAUACCUCUUAAUUGCAGUCACUUUCUCCAGGUUGCUUUAUGGAUUAAAUGAGAUAACCUACUAAAGGACUCCAGUAAAAAGCUAAAAAGGUAGCUAGCUUUUGAGGUGUUGUGGCAGACUGGCAUCUAGUGGCCAGCGAUAAAGGUGCAGACUAGUGUCCACACCUAAGUGGGGACAGUGCAGGCUGUAAUGUCCAUACCUAGUGGGGACAUCAAUGGGGUAUUUGUCAGAGAAGCUCCAUGGCAUAGUUUGGACAUUGUUUCUGGCUGUGCAGGUUCAAACCCAGAGUCUGGCUCUCCCAAAGAUUAUCUGAGUUAUUCUAUUAUUUUACAAAGUUUGAAAUAGCCAUUAGAUACCCUUACAAACUUAUCAUUUUUGUGAUUGAUUUUAAGUCUACUGAAAAUGUCAAAAGAAAUCCAAAACUGAUUGCUAGUAACUAGGCCAGGUGUGGUGGCUCACACCUGUA
This is a long non-coding RNA of Homo sapiens (human), 3520 nucleotides long. Ensembl annotates it as BOLA3 divergent transcript. Its record names the gene BOLA3-DT. NCBI's taxonomy places the organism in Eukaryota, Metazoa, Chordata, Mammalia, Primates, Hominidae. The record is from Ensembl.